Molecule: unclassified non-coding RNA, 253 nt
Filed under: uncultured Alphaproteobacteria bacterium
Lineage: Bacteria; Pseudomonadati; Pseudomonadota; Alphaproteobacteria
Description: contains 16S-23S intergenic spacer region
Rfam family: Bacterial small subunit ribosomal RNA
Source: RNAcentral
UACGAAGGGGGCUAGCGUUGUUCGGAAUUACUGGGCGUAAAGGGCACGUAGGCGGAACAUUAAGUUAGGGGUGAAAGGCCUGGGCUCAACCUGGGAACGGCCUCUAAGACUGAUGAUCUCGAGCCCGGAAGAGGAUGGCGGAAUUCCCAGUGUAGAGGUGAAAUUCAUAGAUAUUGGGAAGAACACCGGUGGCGAAGGCGGCCAUCUGGUCCGGCACUGACGCUGAGGCGCGAAAGCGUGGGGAGCAAACAGG